Molecule: ribosomal RNA, 251 nt
Filed under: uncultured prokaryote
Description: partial 16S rRNA
Rfam family: Bacterial small subunit ribosomal RNA
Source: RNAcentral
ACGGAAGGGGCUAGCGUUGUUCGGAUUUACUGGGCGUAAAGCGCAUGUAGGCGGCGGAUCAAGUGGGGCGUGAAAGGCCUGGGCUCAACCUGGGAACUGCGCUUCAGACUGGUUUGCUCGAGUUCGGGAGGGGGUGGUGGAAUUCCCAGUGUAGAGGUGAAAUUCGUAGAUAUUGGGAGGAACACCGGUGGCGAAGGCGGCCACCUGGCCCGAGACUGACGCUCAAGUGCGAAAGCGUGGGGAGCAAACAG